This 1341-nucleotide ribosomal RNA is filed under the name uncultured bacterium. Its description in RNAcentral is "partial 16S ribosomal RNA". It matches the Rfam family "Bacterial small subunit ribosomal RNA", at positions 28 to 1381 of the family's 1533-position model. The record is from RNAcentral.
GAUGAACGCUGGCGGCGUGCUUAACACAUGCAAGUCGAACGGAAAGGCCUCUGCUUGCAGGGGUACUCGAGUGGCGAACGGGUGAGUAACACGUGGGUGAUCUGCCCUGCACUUCGGGAUAAGCCUGGGAAACUGGGUCUAAUACCGGAUAGGACGAUGGUUUGGAUGCCAUUGUGGAAAGUUUUUCGGUGUGGGAUGAGCCCGCGGCCUAUCAGCUUGUUGGUGGGGUAAUGGCCUACCAAGGCGUCGACGGGUAGCCGGCCUGAGAGGGUGUACGGCCACAUUGGGACUGAGAUACGGCCCAGACUCCUACGGGAGGCAGCAGUGGGGAAUAUUGCACAAUGGGCGCAAGCCUGAUGCAGCGACGCCGCGUGGGGGAUGACGGCCUUCGGGUUGUAAACUCCUUUCGCUAGGGACGAAGCGCAAGUGACGGUACCUGGAGAAGAAGCACCGGCUAACUACGUGCCAGCAGCCGCGGUAAUACGUGGGGUGCGAGCGUUGUCCGGAAUUACUGGGCGUAAAGAGCUCGUAGGUGGUUUGUCGCGUCGUUUGUGUAAGCCCGCAGCUUAACUGCGGGACUGCAGGCGAUACGGGCAUAACUUGAGUGCUGUAGGGGAGACUGGAAUUCCUGGUGUAGCGGUGGAAUGCGCAGAUAUCAGGAGGAACACCGAUGGCGAAGGCAGGUCUCUGGGCAGUAACUGACGCUGAUGUGCGAAAGCGUGGGGAUCAAACAGGAUUAGAUACCCUGGUAGUCCACGCCGUAAACGAUGAGUGCUAAGUGUUAGGGGGUUUCCGCCCCUUAGUGCUGCAGCUAACGCAUUAAGCACUCCGCCUGGGGAGUACGACCGCAAGGUUGAAACUCAAAGGAAUUGACGGGGACCCGCACAAGCGGUGGAGCAUGUGGUUUAAUUCGAAGCAACGCGAAGAACCCUACCAAAUCUUGACAUCCUCUGACCCCUCUAGAGAUAGAGUUUUCCCCUUCGGGGGACAGAGUGACAGGUGGUGCAUGGUUGUCGUCAGCUCGUGUCGUGAGAUGUUGGGUUAAGUCCCGCAACGAGCGCAACCCUUAAGCUUAGUUGCCAUCAUUAAGUUGGGCACUCUAAGUUGACUGCCGGUGACAAACCGGAGGAAGGUGGGGAUGACGUCAAAUCAUCAUGCCCCUUAUGAUUUGGGCUACACACGUGCUACAAUGGACAAUACAAAGGGUAGCGAAACCGCGAGGUCAAGCAAAUCCCAUAAAGUUGUUCUCAGUUCGGAUUGUAGUCUGCAACUCGACUAUAUGAAGCUGGAAUCGCUAGUAAUCGUAGAUCAGCAUGCUACGGUGAAUACGUUCCCGGGUCU